GCUAACGGUCACAUCACAUUGAAUGCACUGGUUCUCGUCCGAUCACCGAAGUUAAACAACGUCGAGCCUAGUUAGUAUUUAGAUGGGUGACCGCUUGGGAAACCUAGGUACUGUAAGCA
Non-coding RNA from Octopus bimaculoides (California two-spot octopus), 119 nucleotides. The record is from Rfam. NCBI's taxonomy places the organism in Eukaryota, Metazoa, Mollusca, Cephalopoda, Octopoda, Octopodidae.